UACGAAGGGGGCUAGCGUUACUCGGAAUCACUGGGCGUAAAGGGUGCGUAGGCGGGUCUUUAAGUCAGGGGUGAAAUCCUGGAGCUCAACUCCAGAACUGCCUUUGAUACUGAGGAUCUUGAGUUCGGGAGAGGUGAGUGGAACUGCGAGUGUAGAGGUGAAAUUCGUAGAUAUUCGCAAGAACACCAGUGGCGAAGGCGGCUCACUGGCCCGGUACUGACGCUGAGGUGCGAAAGCGUGGGGAGCAAACAGG
Molecule: ribosomal RNA, 253 nt
Filed under: uncultured bacterium
Lineage: Bacteria
Description: partial 16S ribosomal RNA
Rfam family: Bacterial small subunit ribosomal RNA
Source: RNAcentral